CACUGCCGAGAAAAGCCUCUAGAUAGAAAAUAGGUGCCCGUACCGCAAACCGACACAGGUAGUCAAGAUGAGAAUUCUAAGGUGAGCGAGCGAACUCUCGUUAAGGAACUCGGCAAAAUGACCCCGUAACUUCGGGAGAAGGGGUGCUCUUUAGGGUUAACGCCCAGAAGAGCCGCAGUGAAUAGGCCCAAGCGACUGUUUAUCAAAAACACAGGUCUCUGCUAAACCGUAAGGUGAUGUAUAGGGGCUGACGCCUGCCCGGUGCUGGAAGGUUAAGAGGAGUGGUUAGCUUCUGCGAAGCUACGAAUCGAAGCCCCAGUAAACGGCGGCCGUAACUAUAACGGUCCUAAGGUAGCGAAAUUCCUUGUCGGGUAAGUUCCGACCCGCACGAAAGGCGUAACGAUUUGGGCACUGUCUCAACGAGAGACUCGGUGAAAUCAUAGUACCUGUGAAGAUGCAGGUUACCCGCGACAGGACGGAAAGACCCCGUGGAGCUUUACUGUAGCCUGAUAUUGAAAUUCGGCACAGCUUGUACAGGAUAGGUAGGAGCCUUUGAAACGUGAGCGCUAGCUUACGUGGAGGCGCUGGUGGGAUACUACCCUAGCUGUGUUGGCUUUCUAACCCGCACCACUUAUCGUGGUGGGAGACAGUGUCAGGCGGGCAGUUUGACUGGGGCGGUCGCCUCCUAAAAGGUAACGGAGGCGCUCAAAGGUUCCCUCAGAAUGGUUGGAAAUCAUUCAUAGAGUGUAAAGGCAUAAGGGAGCUUGACUGCGAGACCUACAAGUCGAGCAGGGUCGAAAGACGGACUUAGUGAUCCGGUGGUUCCGCAUGGAAGGGCCAUCGCUCAACGGAUAAAAGCUACCCCGGGGAUAACAGGCUUAUCUCCCCCAAGAGUUCACAUCGACGGGGAGGUUUGGCACCUCGAUGUCGGCUCAUCGCAUCCUGGGGCUGUAGUCGGUCCCAAGGGUUGGGCUGUUCGCCCAUUAAAGCGGUACGCGAGCUGGGUUCAGA
Molecule: ribosomal RNA, 1011 nt
Filed under: Staphylococcus aureus
Lineage: Bacteria; Bacillati; Bacillota; Bacilli; Caryophanales; Staphylococcaceae
Description: partial 23S ribosomal RNA
Rfam family: Bacterial large subunit ribosomal RNA
Source: RNAcentral